Molecule: long non-coding RNA, 778 nt
Organism: Phodopus roborovskii (desert hamster)
Lineage: Eukaryota; Metazoa; Chordata; Mammalia; Rodentia; Cricetidae
Exons: 4
Source: RefSeq, a predicted model, not a curated record
CAUGAUUUAUUUCUCUUUUAUGUCUACAGGUGGCAGUGUCAAAGCCAAAAGCUUCCAGAAGUGGUUUCUGAAAAAUAAAGAGUUGAAUGUACAUGAGUAAGCAAACACAGGAAUCUGAAAAACCACAGGCAGCCUGUGGCAGAUGAAACCUAGUACAUUUCCAGCACUUCAGGAGAGUUCUUGCUCAGUCUAUUCAAUAUUCAUCUCAACACCAUCAUGAAGGAAUGAAAUGCAGAUAAGUCGUAGGAAAACUUUCAUAGGAAAAGUGCCUCGUGUGAUCAGAACAAAGCUGUUUUAUAAUCAGAUUUACCAAGCUGAGAAGAAGGAGUUUCAGUGAACGGAAGCUGCAGUGUUCUGUCACCAGGAAACACUGCAUUUUCCAGAGUCGGAGCCUGGUUUAUUUCUGUUCUCCCUUCAUGAUUAUCCCCAAACUUUAUGAAGGAUUAUUCUAUUUCACUACAUAAUUAUUUUCCCGAAAAUUCACCCUUGAUUUAUUGACUGUCCGCUGCUUGCUGAUGAGUCUUUCUGAAAGCAGAAGAGCAGCUGUGUGAUAGAAGUGGCAAGCAACUUAGACAUGGAGCUUCAGCAUGGCUAUCCACUGUGAGGAAGAAGAGAAUGGAAAUUGCUUCCAUGAAACACAAGUUUUACAAUGUAAUUUAUUUCUCUAUUCUUCUAAUAAAGAAAUUAAACUUAUGAAUUUUUUUUAAAGUAACAAUUCUGGCUAAAAUUCUCAGUAGAGGCAUAGAAGUUAUUAUGGGAAAUUUGUUGAUUGUUUAUA